This 253-nucleotide ribosomal RNA is filed under the name uncultured bacterium. RNAcentral describes it as "partial 16S ribosomal RNA". It matches the Rfam family "Bacterial small subunit ribosomal RNA", at positions 524 to 776 of the family's 1533-position model. The record is from RNAcentral.
UACGUAGGUGGCAAGCGUUGUCCGGAUUUACUGGGUGUAAAGGGCGUGCAGCCGGAGAGACAAGUCAGAUGUGAGAUCCACGGGCUCAACUCGUGAACUGCAUUUGAAACUGUUUCCCUUGAGUGUCGGAGAGGUAAUCGGAAUUCCUUGUGUAGCGGUGAAAUGCGUAGAUAUAAGGAAGAACACCAGUGGCGAAGGCGGAUUACUGGACGAUAACUGACGGUGAGGCGCGAAAGCGUGGGGAGCAAACAGG